AACGAACGCUGGCGGCAUGCCUAACACAUGCAAGUCGAACGAGACCUUCGGGUCUUGUGGCGCACGGCUGCGUACCGCGUGGGAACCUGCCCUUAGGUUCGGAAUAACUCCCCGAAAGGGGUGCUAAUACCGGAUAAUGUCUUCGGACCAAAGAUUUAUCGCCUUUGGAUGGGCCCGCGUUGGAUUCGCUAGUUGGUAGGGUAAAAGCCUACCAAGGCGACGAUCCAUAGCUGGUCUGAGAGGAUGAUCAGCCACACUGGGACUGAGACACGGCCCAGACUCCUACGGGAGGCAGCAGUGGGUAAUAUUGGACAAUGGGCGAAAGUCUGAUCCAGCAAUGCCGCGUGAGUGAUGAAGGCCGUAGGGUUGUAAAGCUCUUUUACCCGGGAUGAUAAUGACAGUACCGGGAGAAUAAGCUCCGGCUAACUCCGUG
Molecule: ribosomal RNA, 433 nt
Filed under: uncultured bacterium
Lineage: Bacteria
Description: partial 16S ribosomal RNA
Rfam family: Bacterial small subunit ribosomal RNA
Source: RNAcentral